CCCCUAUUUUCACCUUUUAGGGAUUGAAUUUUCAAAAAUCCGUUCUUAGCGGGUGCCUACGUCUAUGAAAUAGCUAUCUAUCAUGCCAAAUUUCAACCCGAUCGAUCCGUCCAGUAGUUGAGCUGUGCGUUGAUAAAUUAGUCAGUCAGUCAAUCAGUCAGUCAAUCAGUCAGUCAGUCA
Molecule: long non-coding RNA, 180 nt
Organism: Maniola jurtina (meadow brown)
Lineage: Eukaryota; Metazoa; Arthropoda; Insecta; Lepidoptera; Nymphalidae
Exons: 3
Source: RefSeq, a predicted model, not a curated record